UGUUUGUUGAACUUGAGGUUUUGAAAUUUUUAAACUUGAGAAUCAUGUGUUGGUUGAACUUGGGUUUGUGUUUUUUGUUGAACUUGAGUUUGUGUCGUUUUUGAACUUGAGUAUGUGGUGUUUUUGAACUUGAGUUUCUGUUGUUCUUGAACUUGGGGUUGUGGAAAUUGUUAAACUUGAGAAUAAGGUGUUGGUUGAACUUGAGUUUGUGUCGAGAUUUAGCUUGAGUUUGUGGCAAUUGUUGAACUUGUAUCUGUGGUUUUAGGUGAAUUUUAAUUGGUAGCAAUGUUUGAACUUGAGUUUGUGGCGUUUGUUGAACUUGAGUUUGUGUCGUGUCUGAACUCGAGUAUGUGGUGUUUUUUAACUUGAGUUUGUGGUGUGUUUGAACUUCAGUUUGUGUGUUUGUUGAACUUGAGGUUGUGGAAAUUAUUAAACUUGAGAAUCGGGUGUUGGUUGAAUUUGAGUUUGUUUGUUUGUUGAAUUCAAGUUUGUGGCGUGUUUCAUCUUGAGUUUUUUGUGUAUUUGAAAUUGAUUUUGUGUUUAUGUUGAACUUGAGGUUUUGGCAAUUGUUAAACUUGAGAUUUGGGUGUUGGUUGAACUUGAGUUUGUGUCAUGUUUGAACUUGAGUACAUGUUGUUUGUUUAACUUGAGUUUUUGUGUUUGUUGAACUUGAGGUUUUGAAAUUUUUAAACUUGAGAAUCAUGUGUUGGUUGAACUUGGGUUUGUGUUUUUUGUUGAACUUGAGUUUGUGUCGUUUUUGAACUUGAGUAUGUGGUGUUUUUGAACUUGAGUCUAUGUUGAUUUUGAACUUGGGGUUGUGGAAAUUGUUAAACUUUAGAAUUGGGAAUUGGUUGAACUUGAGUUUGUGUCAUGUUUGAACUUGAGUAUGUGGUGGUUUUGAACUUGAGUAUUUGGUGUUUAUCAACUUGAAGUUGUGGAUAUUGUUAAACUUGAGAA
Molecule: non-coding RNA, 957 nt
Organism: Xyrichtys novacula (pearly razorfish)
Lineage: Eukaryota; Metazoa; Chordata; Actinopteri; Labriformes; Labridae
Source: the annotation of a GenBank genome assembly